This 452-nucleotide ribosomal RNA is filed under the name uncultured bacterium. Its description in RNAcentral is "bacterial SSU rRNA". It matches the Rfam family "Bacterial small subunit ribosomal RNA", at positions 30 to 479 of the family's 1533-position model. The record is from RNAcentral.
AUUGAACGCUGGCGGCAUGCUUUACACAUGCAAGUCGAACGGCAGCGGGGAAUUCGGUCCGCCGGCGAGUGGCGAACGGGUGAGUAAUGCAUCGGAACGUGCCUAUCAGUGGGGGAUAACGCUUCGAAAGGAGUGCUAAUACCGCAUAUUUUUUGAGGAGGAAAGCAGGGGACCUUAGGGCCUUGCGCUGAUAGAGCGGCCGAUGUUGGAUUAGCUAGUUGGUGAGGUAAAGGCUCACCAAGGCGACGAUCCGUAGCGGGUUUGAGAGGAUGAUUCGCCACACUGGGAAUGAGACACGGCCCCGACUCCUACGGGAGGCAGCAGUGGGGAAUAUUGGACAAUGGGCGAAAGCCUGAUCCAGCCAUGCCGCGUGUGUGAAGAAGGCCUUUUGGUUGUAGAGCACUUUAAGCGAGGAGGAGGAGCUUCAGGUUAAUACCCUGGAUGCUUGGACG